Long non-coding RNA from Phasianus colchicus (ring-necked pheasant), 1658 nucleotides. The record is from Ensembl. NCBI's taxonomy places the organism in Eukaryota, Metazoa, Chordata, Aves, Galliformes, Phasianidae.
GUCAUGUCAAUCAAUGCCAAAGAGAAAGAGGAGACUGACUGACUGAUCAAUGAAUAUGCAUAGAUCCAAACAGUAAAGGAGCUCCUGUUGGGCUCAGAGGUACUGUUCUUCUCAUCUCUUACAAGAGUUGUUCCUGCAUGCUGAAAGUCCUGCUGAGGAAGGAUGGGACAGUUACCAUUGGGUGUGUUUAAAAUGCUGCAGUCCUAAACACUUUGAUGCUUUUCAAAGGGAAUAGACAAACUUAGUAAAUUGUUAAAAGAAUGUUAAAAACAGACAAAGAAAAGGUAUCAAAGAGAAAUUAAAAGAAAUACAUAAAUAUAUAUAAAGACUGGCAUUUGUCAAAUACUAUUUCAUACAUCAAAUAUUAAUCGUAACAAAGGAUGUAGCUUGUUUAAAAUCUGCAUAUUAAUACACAGAGAAUAUUAUACUAUAAAGUGAGUAAUCAUUUGGAUAUAUGAUACUUGUGCGUGACAAUCCAUCACUAUCCUUAUUUGCUUUACAAAUUGCUACGUGGAACUGAUUAAUGGUGUUUUGUUCAUUAACAAGAGAGUCCUAGUUAUUUCUAACAUUCUCGAGGUUUCAGAUUUACUUAUGAAUAGAUCCUUGUAUUUUCAGAAUGCAAUAAGAUUGCUGUUUGAUGUUUUGCUCACUGGCAGUAACUGUCACCCUCCGUGGGCUAUGGAUGGAGAGGUGUCUGCAGCUAAGUGAAGUGAAAGCACAUGCUAUUGAUUGCCCACAGUUGGACCAUGGCACUGAGGCUGCAGCCUGAUGAUCUUAAACCUUGCUGGUGUUUUGUCUCAGUUACAUGAGAAGUGUAUGCUGGUGGCACAGUACCAAGGUAUCUCUGAAACUUCCAAAGCUGGCUGGAGCUGAAUGUUUUUACAAGAAGACAACCAAGCCUGCUUUUUAUUUUCCCAACCCAUCCUUACUGUGUACCUCAUCUCACCUUCCAGCAAACUGCAAGUGAUUAUCACCUUCAAUUGAACCGAAGGAGACAGCAAGGCAGACUCAAAUACAUUGUAGGUACAGGGAAAAGGAAGCAGUGACUAUGCGCUACUGGAUUUAACACAUUUUAUUAUUGUGUGCUGUAAUAAUUUAUUAUUUUUUUUUUCCCUUCUCUGAAAUUGUGUUUUUGCUGUUGUUUUCCUGCUGAAGAGGACUGUUUGCUUGUUUGUAUAGGAGAAGCCUAUACAAACAAGAAGUUGGCCUAUUUUUAACUACCUUGUUUAUUACAGUGCUACAUUUUGAAUCUCUUUGACCACAAAGCAAGAUGUUCUACUUAAAGCUUUUUUGAUGUUAUUGCACUGAGAGAAUUCACUUCAGUAGCCCUAAAAGCCAUUCCAGGAAUAAGACUUGAUCCUACACUCAAUUACCUGUCCACAUUUCAUCAAACAUCUAAAAAGAGGUUAAACAAAAUGGAAGGACAACCAGGCCUAGACAGUAAAUGUUCUCUGGGAAUUGACUUUCUUCUUUCCCCUUAAUGUAGCAAAAAUGCCAGCAAGCAUUCUGGCAGUAUUAAAACCAACCUCACUUUCAUGACUGCCAUACUGUUUUACAAACUCAAUUAUCAAUCAUUUUAAUUUCACUAUAAUUUAUAUUUUUAAAAAAAUGCAGAGGAGGACUCAUACCUUAUAAGAUGAUGCAAGACCAGAGUGGUC